Molecule: unclassified non-coding RNA, 403 nt
Filed under: Hevea brasiliensis (rubber tree)
Lineage: Eukaryota; Viridiplantae; Streptophyta; Magnoliopsida; Malpighiales; Euphorbiaceae
Source: RNAcentral
UGGGCACUCAACCAAACAAAUUAGAAACCGGCUUUUUCACUCAAACCUGCUUUUUUGGGUUCUUGCCGCAAUGCCAAACGGGGCCACUAUCACUUGCCAUUCAUGGCAUUUUGGCAACCACUAUACCCAAAAACAUCUCCUCCAUCUCAUGUGGCCACCACAUAAUGGUUAUUCUUAGAGUAUAAUAACUAUUCUCCAUGAGUAAGGAAUUUCAUUUUGGAGUGAGUAGUUUCACUUAGGCUUGUUGGAUCCGCCUCUGCUACUGGCUGAUGGAGUUUAGUCGGUAUGGACACACCUCCAGACGUGCCUCGCCUUUAGGAGCACACUGGUAGUUACUUUUGUAGCACGGAAACACUUUCUAAGAUCUGUAGCAUAUAUACUUCCCAUAGAAUCAGGAUCUGCA